RNAcentral lists this ribosomal RNA (1076 nucleotides) under Salmonella enterica. Its description in RNAcentral is "partial 23S ribosomal RNA". It matches the Rfam family "Bacterial large subunit ribosomal RNA", at positions 566 to 1566 of the family's 2925-position model. Lineage: Bacteria; Pseudomonadati; Pseudomonadota; Gammaproteobacteria; Enterobacterales; Enterobacteriaceae. RNAcentral also lists the same sequence under 1 other name. The record is from RNAcentral.
AAAGCAUUCUCUGGUGUUGAAGGCCCUGCAAAGCAGCAUCGCGGUGGCGGAGCGUCGUUUGCGACGCCCAACACACAAAACAAGCGGUGAGUGCUUUGGGGUGGGGUGACUGCGUACCUUUUGUAUAAUGGGUCAGCGACUUAUAUUCUGUAGCAAGGUUAACCGUAUAGGGGAGCCGUAGGGAAACCGAGUCUUAACCGGGCGUUAAGUUGCAGGGUAUAGACCCGAAACCCGGUGAUCUAGCCAUGGGCAGGUUGAAGGUUGGGUAACACUAACUGGAGGACCGAACCGACUAAUGUUGAAAAAUUAGCGGAUGACUUGUGGCUGGGGGUGAAAGGCCAAUCAAACCGGGAGAUAGCUGGUUCUCCCCGAAAGCUAUUUAGGUAGCGCCUCGUGAAUUCAUCUUCGGGGGUAGAGCACUGUUUCGGCUAGGGGGUCAUCCCGACUUACCAACCCGAUGCAAACUGCGAAUACCGGAGAAUGUUAUCACGGGAGACACACGGCGGGUGCUAACGUCCGUCGUGAAGAGGGAAACAACCCAGACCGCCAGCUAAGGUCCCAAAGUCAUGGUUAAGUGGGAAACGAUGUGGGAAGGCCCAGACAGCCAGGAUGUUGGCUUAGAAGCAGCCAUCAUUUAAAGAAAGCGUAAUAGCUCACUGGUCGAGUCGGCCUGCGCGGAAGAUGUAACGGGGCUAAACCAUGCACCGAAGCUGCGGCAGCGACACUGUGUGUUGUUGGGUAGGGGAGCGUUCUGUAAGCCUGCGAAGGUGGCCUGUGAGGGUUGCUGGAGGUAUCAGAAGUGCGAAUGCUGACAUAAGUAACGAUAAAGCGGGUGAAAAGCCCGCUCGCCGGAAGACCAAGGGUUCCUGUCCAACGUUAAUCGGGGCAGGGUGAGUCGACCCCUAAGGCGAGGCCGAAAGGCGUAGUCGAUGGGAAACAGGUUAAUAUUCCUGUACUUGGUGUUACUGCGAAGGGGGGACGGAGAAGGCUAUGUUGGCCGGGCGACGGUUGUCCCGGUUUAAGCGUGUAGGUGUGUGUUCCAGGUAAAUCCGGUUCACUUUAACACUGAGGCGUGA